Molecule: ribosomal RNA, 528 nt
Filed under: Neostephanus sp. JC171
Lineage: Eukaryota; Metazoa; Arthropoda; Insecta; Hymenoptera; Stephanidae
Description: eukaryotic LSU rRNA
Rfam family: Eukaryotic large subunit ribosomal RNA
Source: RNAcentral
CCAAGGAGUCUAACAUGUGCGCGAGUCAUUGGGAUUUGUUUGAAACCUAAAGGCGCAAUGAAAGUGAAGGUCGUCCACGCGACGACCGAGGGAGGAUGGGCCGCGCAUGCUGCGGCCCCGCACUCCCGGGGCGUCUCGUUCUCAUCGCGAGAGGAGGCGCACCCAGAGCGUACACGUUGGGACCCGAAAGAUGGUGAACUAUGCCUGGUCAGGACGAAGUCAGGGGAAACCCUGAUGGAGGUCCGUAGCGAUUCUGACGUGCAAAUCGAUCGUCGGAACUGGGUAUAGGGGCGAAAGACUAAUCGAACCAUCUAGUAGCUGGUUCCCUCCGAAGUUUCCCUCAGGAUAGCUGGCACUCGCGUGUUCUACGGAACUUGCGCGAGUCUCAUCUGGUAAAGCGAAUGAUUAGAGGCCUUGGGGCCGAAACGACCUCAACCUAUUCUCAAACUUUAAAUGGGUGAGAUCUCUGGCUUGCUUGAACGUUGAAGCCACGAGAUUUCGGAUCAGAGUGCCAAGUGGGCCAAUUUU